This 233-nucleotide long non-coding RNA is filed under the name Elaeis guineensis (African oil palm). Its description in RNAcentral is "long non-coding RNA (EGUI_LNC033742)". Lineage: Eukaryota; Viridiplantae; Streptophyta; Magnoliopsida; Arecales; Arecaceae. The record is from RNAcentral.
AGAUAUGGUGGUGGACUAAUCUCAAGAACAAAUCACUGCACAUGAAGUUGAGUCUCGGUUGGGACAUAAUUAUAAAAACCACUAGCAAGAUAGAUAAAUUAUUUGGCUGGGCAAAUGCACUUUUAGCUGCAUCUGUGUCUGUGCCUUAUCUUAAUCAGUUAAUUAUAACAUGAAAUGUCUUGUGCCAUCCUAUGAGCGAGUGACAGAUAUUGUACAUUGAGCAAUGACAGCUA